This 417-nucleotide ribosomal RNA is filed under the name uncultured eukaryote. Its description in RNAcentral is "SSU rRNA". It matches the Rfam family "Eukaryotic small subunit ribosomal RNA", at positions 567 to 990 of the family's 1831-position model. The record is from RNAcentral.
GCAGCAGCUGCGGUAAUUCCAGCUCCAAUAGCGUAUAUUUAAGUUGUUGCAGUUAAAAAGCUCGUAGUUGGAUUUCGGGCGGGUCACGGCGGUCCGCCUCUGGUGUGCACUGCCGUUGAUCCGCCUUUCUGUCGGGGACGGGCUCUUGGGCUUCACUGUCCGGGACCCGGGCUCGACGAGGUUACUUUGAGUAAAUUAGAGUGUUCAAAGCAGGUGAUCGCCUUGAAUACAUUAGCAUGGAAUAGCACGAUAGGACUCUGGCCUAUCUUGCUGGUCUGUAGGACCGGAGUAAUGAUUAAGAGGGACAGUCGGGGGCAUUCGUAUUUCAUUGUCAGAGGUGAAAUUCUUGGAUUUAUGAAAGACGAACUUCUGCGAAAGCAUUUGCCCAGGAUGUUUUCCUUGAUCAAGAACGAAAGG